This 467-nucleotide ribosomal RNA is filed under the name Lachnoanaerobaculum saburreum. RNAcentral describes it as "bacterial SSU rRNA". It matches the Rfam family "Bacterial small subunit ribosomal RNA", at positions 28 to 497 of the family's 1533-position model. The record is from RNAcentral. Lineage: Bacteria; Bacillati; Bacillota; Clostridia; Lachnospirales; Lachnospiraceae.
GAUGAACGCUGGCGGCGUGCUUAACACAUGCAAGUCGAACGAAGCUGUUAAAAGGAAGUCUUCGGAUGGAAUUUUAACAGACUUAGUGGCGGACGGGUGAGUAACGCGUGGAUAACCUGCCUUAUACAGGGGGAUAACGGAGAGAAAUUUCCGCUAAGACCGCAUAAGACCACAGCACCGCAUGGUGCAGGGGUAAAAUAUUAAUAGGUAUAAGAUGGAUCCGCGUCCGAUUAGCUAGUUGGUGAGGUAGAGGCUCGCCAAGGCGACGAUCGGUAGCCGGCCUGAGAGGGUGAACGGCCACAUUGGGACUGAGACACGGCCCAAACUCCUACGGGAGGCAGCAGUGGGGAAUAUUGGACAAUGGGGGAAACCCUGAUCCAGCGACGCCGCGUGAGUGAAGAAGUAUUUCGGUAUGUAAAGCUCUAUCAGCAGGGAAGAAAAUGACGUACCUGACUAAGAGCCCCGCA